GAACUUCCGUUAAUUGAUUAUGACGUACUUGUACUGAUUGAGAUUUUAACACGAAGUGAGUGGCGAACGGGUGAGUAACACGUGGGUAACCUGCCCAGAAGUAGGGGAUAACACCUGGAAACAGAUGCUAAUACCGUAUAACAGAGAAAACCGCAUGGUUUUCUUUUAAAAGAUGGCUCUGCUAUCACUUCUGGAUGGACCCGCGGCGUAUUAGCUAGUUGGUGAGGUAAAGGCUCACCAAGGCAGUGAUACGUAGCCGACCUGAGAGGGUAAUCGGCCACAUUGGGACUGAGACACGGCCCAGACUCCUACGGGAGGCAGCAGUAGGGAAUCUUCCACAAUGGACGCAAGUCUGAUGGAGCAACGCCGCGUGAGUGAAGAAGGGUUUCGGCUCGUAAAGCUCUGUUGUUAAAGAAGAACGUGGGUAAGAGUAACUGUUUACCCAGUGACGGUAUUUAACCAGAAAGCCACGGCUAACUACGUGCCAGCAGCCGCGGUAAUACGUAGGUGGCAAGCGUUAUCCGGAUUUAUUGGGCGUAAAGCGAGCGCAGGCGGUCUUUUAAGUCUAAUGUGAAAGCCUUCGGCUCAACCGAAGAAGUGCAUUGGAAACUGGGAGACUUGAGUGCAGAAGAGGACAGUGGAACUCCAUGUGUAGCGGUGAAAUGCGUAGAUAUAUGGAAGAACACCAGUGGCGAAGGCGGCUGUCUGGUCUGCAACUGACGCUGAGGCUCGAAAGCAUGGGUAGCGAACAGGAUUAGAUACCCUGGUAGUCCAUGCCGUAAACGAUGAUUACUAAGUGUUGGAGGGUUUCCGCCCUUCAGUGCUGCAGCUAACGCAUUAAGUAAUCCGCCUGGGGAGUACGACCGCA
This 868-nucleotide ribosomal RNA is filed under the name Pediococcus pentosaceus. Its description in RNAcentral is "bacterial SSU rRNA". It matches the Rfam family "Bacterial small subunit ribosomal RNA", at positions 48 to 890 of the family's 1533-position model. Lineage: Bacteria; Bacillati; Bacillota; Bacilli; Lactobacillales; Lactobacillaceae. The record is from RNAcentral.